CUGUUUGUUCCCCUGCUUCUGUACAAGCUAGGAAGUGUCCUUCUAAUUGAAUUCUCUUUGUACAUAGAUUGUUCAGAAAAGAAGGAUUAAUAACUAGUUAGAACAUGUGUAAUUAUAAUGCAUCUAGUAUUUCAUACGAAUUAAGCUGUUAACAGUUGUUUUUCUUUUCAGAUAAACCCCUUCACUCUUAAAGGUUUUUUUACUGAAACUACAAUAUGUUGCAAUAAUAGUGCCUUAUAGAAUUAUUCUAAAUCAUCUUUGUUUCUUUAUCCACAUGCCAUAUGGUAUUGUAGUCGCGAUUGUUUGCAUGAGGUAGUCAGGCAGAGCUAGGUUAUAUGAGUUUAUAUGGAUACUCUCUAUACUUGUGUAUAUGUAUGUAGUUUUGGUCAAAAUAGGUGCCUUAAUUGAUAGUUUUCACAUGUCUUGUGUAGUAGGGUAGCUGAUGUUCAUCGCACUUUACUAUAUGGUGGUAUCUUUUUGUAUCCUGAUGUUAGAAGAGCACCAACGGAAAACUAUCAGAUGUCUUGCACUUCUGAAGGGUACCAUGAUCCAAAUAUCCCAAUGAAGGGAACCUUACUGGGUCUCUUCCUGAAGAAAUUGGGAAAUUAAUAAAGCUCAUAAACCUGCAAAAAGUGUGAAUUUACAAAAAUAUAUGUUACUUGAAAUUUAAAUAUCUUGACAAUAAGUAUUUCUGUUGCACUGUAGGAUCCUGGUUAGCUGCAAUUUCAUUGGCGAAAUUCCAGACAGCAUAUGAUCCCUCUAAAUCAUCUGCAAGUUUCGGUUUUUCUUUGCUCGUAGCACGCUUGCUGGUAUAUAUGAGCAGAGUCUACAGAAUGUGUUAGCUAAAGGAUGAAUGUCCAAAAGGAGGUAGGUGAGUCAUGUAGGUGAGUCAUGUAGGAAGAUGGGACAAAUCAUGAGUUCACUACUGAAGAGUAUGAGAAGUUAUUGGUCAAUAUACAAAGCUCUCUAUAGAGUUGAUAUCAGUGUCGGUGAGGGUUUUUUCAUCACUUGUUCUUUUGAAUUAUGAUUUAUUUACUCCUUUUAUGUGUAUGUUGCUUCGUGUGAAUUUUUGUGUAUCCAUACUUCCUAUAGACUCUCUUAUGCUCAUGAGUUUUAUGUACGUAUCAAUCUUUUGUUGUUGAUAAUUAAUUCACAAGCUCACGCUUCCUACUGAUUUGUGACCUUUAAUUGCUCUGUGAAUAGUGUUUCAGUGUUGUGUAUUAUGCAGGCUCGAUCUUAUUAGCAAUUGAUUCUUAAAAAGUGCUAAUUGAAGAAUUCAUUCUUUUAAUACUUCAUAAAAUAUAGACUAUUUAGCUUUUGCCAGUAGUGAGGUUUGGAUACUAAUAAACAAUGUUUUGUUCUUUCUUUUCAUAAUCCGUUUAUAUUCUGGUCGUACUGUUAGGUGAUGGCUAGCAAAACAAGAUAAGACAUUUUUACAGAAUUUUUUUAUUGGUAGAUGAUUAUUUUAAAUAAAACCAUAAGAAUUAUGUGCCUACAAUUUUGUUCUUACACUUGUGACACUACCUUGCGUAAUAUUCAAGUAAUCCCAUCUAUCAAUAUAAUAAACCUUAUGUUUUCAUCUGAUUUAGAUUUAAAUAUUCUAGUUUAAUUUUUUAAUUUGCAAAUAUUGUUAUUAGGAUUAGGUUAUGGUUCUUGGCUUCAUCUUGGAGUUACCUAAUGCAGUUCUUCUACAGCUUUGUAAAGACAACAUCACGGUAAGAGGGCUCAUUGUUCCUGAAGCUUGGCCUUGGAACAAUGCAUAACCCUUGUGUAACCCUUCAGUGCAGACAACAUGCAGACAACAUCACGGUAAGAGAGCUCAUUGUUCCUGAAGUUCGGCCUUAGAGUAUCUUGGGGUCCGUGAUGCAUUUGAAGAUUCUGGUGGUGGAAGAAAGGAAUCAAGGGAUGAUGCAUAGCUAUUUCUACUAUGAAGCUCAUACUCUUGAACUUAAUUGCUUCUACUGGCCUUUGUUUUCAAGAUGAAAUUUUAGAUUAAUAGGUUUUUGUAUUACUUAAUUUUAUACUUGUAAGUUAAUUUUAUUGUUAAUUGAAGACCAAUUAUUCAUA
Spinacia oleracea (spinach) is the source of this 2067-nucleotide long non-coding RNA. RefSeq lists it as uncharacterized. The transcript has 6 exons. NCBI's taxonomy places the organism in Eukaryota, Viridiplantae, Streptophyta, Magnoliopsida, Caryophyllales, Amaranthaceae. The record is from RefSeq and is a predicted model, not a curated record.